This 468-nucleotide ribosomal RNA is filed under the name uncultured bacterium. RNAcentral describes it as "partial 16S ribosomal RNA". It matches the Rfam family "Bacterial small subunit ribosomal RNA", at positions 28 to 507 of the family's 1533-position model. The record is from RNAcentral.
GACGAACGCUGGCGGCGUGCUUAACACAUGCAAGUCGAACGGAAAGGUCCUGCUUUUGUGGGGUGCUCGAGUGGCGAACAGGUGAGUAACACGUGAGUAACCUGCCCUUGACUUUGGGAUAACUUCAGGAAACUGGGGCUAAUACCGGAUAGGAGCUCCUGCUGCAUGGUGGGGGUUGGAAAGUUUCGGCGGUUGGGGAUGGACUCGCGGCUUAUCAGCUUGUUGGUGGGGUAGUGGCUUACCAAGGCUUUGACGGGUAGCCGGCCUGAGAGGGUGACCGGCCACAUUGGGACUGAGAUACGGCCCAGACUCCUACGGGAGGCAGCAGUGGGGAAUAUUGCACAAUGGGCGGAAGCCUGAUGCAGCAACGCCGCGUGCGGGAUGACGGCCUUCGGGUUGUAAACCGCUUUCGCCUGUGACGAAGCGUGAGUGACGGUAAUGGGUAAAGAAGCACCGGCUAACUACGUG